This 292-nucleotide ribosomal RNA is filed under the name uncultured bacterium. Its description in RNAcentral is "partial 16S ribosomal RNA". It matches the Rfam family "Bacterial small subunit ribosomal RNA", at positions 505 to 796 of the family's 1533-position model. The record is from RNAcentral.
GUGUCAGCAGCCGCGGUAAUACGUAGGCAGCAAGCGUUGUUCGGAAUUACUGGGCGUAAAGAGUGUGUAGGUGGUGCUGUAAGUUUGGUGUGAAAUCUCCCGGCUUAACCGGGAGGGUGCGCCGAAAACUGCGGUGCUUGAGUAUGGGAGAGGAAAGCGGAAUUCCUGGUGUAGCGGUGAAAUGCGUAGAUAUCAGGAGGAACACCUGCGGUGUAGACGGCUUUCUGGACCAUUACUGACACUGAGACACGAAAGCGUGGGGAGCAAACAGGAUUAGAUACCCUAGUAGUCC